This 72-nucleotide transfer RNA is filed under the name Bos taurus (domestic cattle). It matches the Rfam family "tRNA". Rfam says of the family: Transfer RNA (tRNA) molecules are approximately 80 nucleotides in length. Their secondary structure includes four short double-helical elements and three loops (D, anti-codon, and T loops). Lineage: Eukaryota; Metazoa; Chordata; Mammalia; Artiodactyla; Bovidae. The record is from Rfam by way of RNAcentral.
UCCCUGGUAGCUCAGAUGGUAAAGUGUCUACCUACAAUGUGGGAGACUCAGGUUCAGUUCCUGGGCUGGGAA